GAGGUACUCUCUCCGAAUGAAAAUACUUGUCAUCAAAAUGGAUAAAAAGUGAUGUAUAUAGAACUAAAAUACAUCUAGAUACAUCCCCUUUUAUCUAUUUUGAUGACAAGUAUUUCCGGACGGAGGGAGUAGCAA
Triticum urartu is the source of this 135-nucleotide non-coding RNA. NCBI's taxonomy places the organism in Eukaryota, Viridiplantae, Streptophyta, Magnoliopsida, Poales, Poaceae. The record is from Rfam.